GACGAACCGAGCGAACGUUGUUCGGAAUCACUGGGCUUAAAGGGCGCGUAGGCGGGCUGCCGCGUCCGGGGUGAAAUCCCACGGCUCAACCGUGGAACGGCCCCGGGUACGGGCGGCCUCGAGGGGGGUAGGGGCGUGCGGAACUGUGGGUGGAGCGGUGAAAUGCGUUGAGAUCCACAGGAACUCCGGUGGCGAAGGUGGCACGCUGGACCCUCUCUGACGCUGAGGCGCGAAAGCCAGGGGAGCGAACGGG
Molecule: ribosomal RNA, 253 nt
Filed under: uncultured bacterium
Lineage: Bacteria
Description: partial 16S ribosomal RNA
Rfam family: Bacterial small subunit ribosomal RNA
Source: RNAcentral